CCUACGGGUGGCAGCAGUGGGGAGUAUUGGACAAUGGGCGAAAGCCUGAUCCAGCCAUGCCGCGUGUGUGAAGAAGGCCUUCGGGUUGUAAAGCACUUUCAGUGGGGAAGAAAGCCUUGGGGCUAAUACCCUCGAGGAAGGACAUCACCCACAGAAGAAGCACCGGCUAACUCCGUGCCAGCAGCCGCGGUAAUACGGAGGGUGCGAGCGUUAAUCGGAAUUACUGGGCGUAAAGCGCGCGUAGGCGGUCUGAUAAGCCGGUUGUGAAAGCCCCGGGCUCAACCUGGGAACGGCAUCCGGAACUGUCAGGCUAGAGUGCAGGAGAGGAAGGUAGAAUUCCCGGUGUAGCGGUGAAAUGCGUAGAGAUCGGGAGGAAUACCAGUGGCGAAGGCGGCCUUCUGGACUGACACUGACGCUGAGGUGCGAAAGCGUGGGUAGCAAACAGGAUUAGAUACCCGGGUAGUC
This 465-nucleotide ribosomal RNA is filed under the name Vreelandella stevensii. RNAcentral describes it as "partial 16S ribosomal RNA". It matches the Rfam family "Bacterial small subunit ribosomal RNA", at positions 338 to 795 of the family's 1533-position model. The record is from RNAcentral. Lineage: Bacteria; Pseudomonadati; Pseudomonadota; Gammaproteobacteria; Oceanospirillales; Halomonadaceae.